GGAAAUGGAGGGAUGUUAAAUGCUUUAUACAAAUACCAUGGACAUGACACACCCAAGGUGCUACUUGGGAUAACAAGCUUGCUUGUUGUAAUUAACUGCCUCAGCUCAUUUCAGAUAUAUGCAAUGCCAGUUUUUGACAAUUUGGAGAUUAGAUACACUAGCAAAAUGAAUAAGCCCUGCCCAAGGUGGCUACGCUCUGGGUUUAGGGUGUUCUUUGGAUGUUUGGCGUUCUUUAUAGCCGUGGCAUUUCCAUUCUUGCCUAGC
Molecule: unclassified non-coding RNA, 264 nt
Filed under: Hevea brasiliensis (rubber tree)
Lineage: Eukaryota; Viridiplantae; Streptophyta; Magnoliopsida; Malpighiales; Euphorbiaceae
Source: RNAcentral